CUCAGGAUCAAAGUUUGCUCCCCACUGUGACAACUUUUUUCAAACACAGCUUUCCUCUUAAGUGCGUUGUUUUCACCACUCUGCUGUUUGGCCUAUUUUUUUAUUUUUUUUUCUGUUUGGUCUUGUCGAGGAUUCAGAUUUAAAUAUUCAGGUAAAGUCUCAUGAUACUGUAUCUGGGUUAAAAAGGGGGCCAAAGGUGCUGAAGUGUUUGUAGUAAAUAUUAUGUAACACCUUCCCUGACAGCUCAUUUUGCUGCAUGAUGUGCUGAAAUCUGUGGGAAAAAGUAAUCUGAAGACCUUGAGAUUUUUCAUUAUUUUUUAAAUGACUCCUCACUCCUCCACUUUUACUCACUAUUAGGUUUGAUAUUAUGAAUCAACAUAAAGAAAGAUGUUAGGUUACUCUUUUAUUUCUCUUUUUCUGGUACGAGGGAUUAAUGAUGUUGUUUGGUUGAAUAUUUGCUUAAAAAAUUGAUCACUGUGCUGAAAAUAAAAAACACAGUUGCCAAAACCACAUGGAGAAAUUGUGCAAAUUUGUGAUGGAUUGUGAUGACAUUCAGUGAGCAGCAGCACUGACAUGAACUCAGUGUUGCUGCUGACGAGUUAAAUACUAAUGCUGUGAUGUGUCAGCUCUUUACAAAUGAAGAAUUACAGUUUUCUUUGAAACUCAUUGACAGUAUGUAUUUAAGUCUUCCCACAAGGUUUUAAAAAUACAAGACUCAGAGCACGUUUUCUACCCACGAACAAAAACUCAUGAUGAGUUAUGGGGAAAUAACAUGACAACACAAACAUGCAAUAUCUCAUGGCUGUUUUUUUUUUAAGCUGAAGUCAGGAUUUUGUUUUGUGGCAAUAAAUAUAUAUAUAUUUUAAAUCACUUUCUCUUGACUAAGAGGAACUAAAGUGUGCCUAUGAUGAGGAAAUGUAUCUCUCAUUACUGAUUUCACGAUGGACCGUCAAACCUUUGAAGACAUGAUCAUAAAAUCAAAACAAACUACAGUCAUUUGACCACACCAUGACUAAAUCGGCUAAUCAGUCUUGCUUCAAAGUUGCUGAAAACCUGAACAAACUGCGUCUCAUUGAAGAAAAAAAAGGAACCAAUAGACCCUUUGGAGUUUCCUUUAUAGCAACAUCCCAUGAUGCAGGAGGAACAUCCGGCAGGGCUAAGAUGGCCUGCAGAUAAUGGUACAGUCCAUUGAUCUAGUCCACUCCCCUGCAAAAAAAGACAUUUUGAACAAGCAUCACUGGACCAAGGCAGACUUGAGACAUCCAAACAAUGGCUGUUUUGAACUGCUGCGGUCAGAAAAAGCAAUGCCACAGUCACAGGGCAAGAGUGGGAAAGUUUUAGAGAAGCGGCCCUUACCAGGCCUGAGCCUGAGACUUUUAACUGCUGCAAUAUUUUAACAUGUAGCUGUAAAUGGGAUUUUUAGAGAUGAGCUUGUGUGAUUUGGAUUAAUAUAAACUUUUUGUUAUUAAGUAGAUUGUUUGCCUUUGAUUUAUUUGUUAUUAGCCGAUAAGAUGGCACAAUUACAGUCAGGAUCAUGUCCCACCUGGUCAGUGAAGUAGGACAUAGUAUCUCUUGUUUAGGGUUGAAAAAUACAAUAUUAUAUUAAACAGACUAUGCUAAGUGGCUGCAUCUUUAUACGAUGAAUAGAAAUUUCCUUUCUGGAGACUUUGGAUUGAUUUACUGUGUAAGACAACAAAAUCAAAGUUGAGUUAUUAAAGCCGAACCAGUGAUUUUACCCACAUUUUUACUUUCUUACAAUAUUUCUAUCAAUCCAAAAUUAUUUUAAUGACACUUUUUUUCUGUUUUCCUGGGGAUUCCUGGUUUCAUGGUGUUUGAAUUGCAUCUCAGGAAAAAAAAAGUUUUUGAACUGAGUUAAUCAGUUUUUAAAGAUUAUGAUAUUUACUAUAAUUUUGAUGUGCCGAGAUUAUCAAACCACUCAAUCAGCCUCUGCUAUAUUGGCUGAUAUGAGGCAGAAGAUCUUUAACAGCCUGAACCAUCUUCAUAAGGAGAAAGGUGCUUCAGAUGCUUUAAGCAAAUUCAAAAACAAAUGGUGAAGUCCAAAAGAAAGGUGGAAAAGUGGAAAUGUGGCAUGCUGCAAAAAGCAGAAACAAUUGCAUAAACAGCAAACAUGUUGCUAAUACACAAACAAUGCUGAGCCAAAACACCCAAAAGCAGACAACAUACCAGCAAAUGUUAAAUACUCCAAAGCAAGACUUGCUAAUGGAAAUCCUCCAGGCAGCAAAGUGAAACAGCUUCAUUAUUUACAGAACAGAGAGAAGAAGAGCAGAGGCUGAACUUCGCUCUGAAGAUUGUUUAGACUGUUACAGAUCCUUUAGCUUUCUCAGCUCUUGUACCAUAAACCAGAUCUUUAUAGCUAAAACUGUGAAGACCAAGAUCAAGUAAGAAUGUUUUCUGUACUCUCAUUGGUAGAUUAAUUCUACUCUCUUCAUUAUAUUCAAAGAAUACGAGCUGGACCCGAUCUGUAUGUAAAUAAUUAUGAGAUAACUUUACAAUCAGGAGCUAUGAAUAGAAAUUGACUGACUGAUACUUGUGGCUGAGGUAAGAGAUCCAGCUUGUGUGCUCACACGUUCACCUCUCAUUUCCUAAACAACAAUAAACUGAGUGUUCUCUUGUAUUUUAUAACAUACAUACAUCUCACAUGGUCCAGUUUAAUUCAGUUGUGUAUACAGUCUGGAUUUGUCAUUACAUUUGUGCACUUUUCCCCACUGACCCACUAAGAUGGAUCUCUUUUUUAUGUUUUCAGGAUGGGAUUCAUAUCUGCUGCCUCUGCAGGAUGACUGAGAAACAAAACAUGCCCACUGUGCAUCAUGUUGCACCAACAACUCUCUGGGGAGGCGAUGGGUCAACAUGCCGCUAAGAAAUUCCCGAGACUCUUUUUAGUGAUUUAGUUUUGGUGUAAACACCAUGGCAGAUGUGGUUCUCAACCACAUGAAGGACUCAGCUCUGAGGUUUUACCUAAUAUUGCUGAAGACUGCAGUUUGUUCACAACAUAAUCCUCAAAAGAGAAGCUCUUUGACAGGGCUGUGUUCAUCUCAAUGCAAACCAUCACUGUUUUAUUUGGUGAGUCUUUGUGCUUUUUAGACUUUUUCUCUUGUUUUUGAGGCAGUCAGAGUAAUUCGGUUUUCUUUUCAAGUAGCAGACCUCCACGAAGUCUGACAUCUGCUGUGUAAAUAUGCCUGCCCCACAUGGCUCUGCUUCAUAUCACUCUCCAUGUUGUGGCGUCAUCUUAUGCAGUCACCGAAGCUGUCUUUUAGGUUUUAACUAACCUUCAGCGCUGCAGCAUCAUCAGUACUCUGCUGGCAUAUCUCCACGUUUGUACAGGUCAACUAUCAGGUCCUCUACACUUUAUUGCUCUUUUACGUGAGAGCCGGAGCGCCUGGCAUCUAUUAAAAACAUAUUGGAUUCACACACAGUCACACACGCUUGUGUAGUCAUAGUUGUCAUAGCUUCCCAGCUUGCACGUGGGUCUUAUUUAUCGAGCUGGAGCCAACAGCCUCUUUCAUCUUUUAUCUCGGGUUUAAUUUUCUCGUUCAACCUUUUUGAAAGUGACACAUUGUUUGAAACCAGUGGCGGUCCUGGAGGCAACAAGGGCUUUGGCUUUGACUUGCACAAGUGAAAACAGAAACCUCUUCACACACAUUCACAGUCGGGGUCAGUAGGAGACUCAAGGGAACUUCCCUGUAUUCUUCAACCAGGGUUUACUAUCUCAUGAUUGUUGCCAUUCUGACUAUAAGUCUUGCAAACAUUGCACCCCCUUAGAAAACAAAGCAUCGGUCUCCAGAAAAAGAGUGUCAAAAUAAUGCAUAUGAUGAGGGAAAACCACAUGAGCUUUUUUCCUGCAGCUUUUAAAAUAAAGUUCAGUUUUACAUAAAUAAUCCGAAACACUUGUCCCUCAGGCUGACCUUAUGAAGACACUGAGAUUUCUCCUGUGGAUGAGCUACUUCAACUAACAGCACGAGGAUUAACCUCUGGAGUGCUUUCUAACCUCACUGGUAUAUUUACCUCAUGCAUUAUUCACUCUGGAUAGAGCCAGUGUUUGGAAAGUCACUGGAAAUUAGUGAUUUUUUAUGAUUAACAGAUACAACCAUCAAAAAGAAAACAAAUGAUGAACUGCGAGAUAAAAGUGAUUUCUCAGAAAAGUCACUGCAUGUUCUCUAACUAUUUUUGCUUCACUAAUGCACAAUGCCCCUGAUCUCACUUGGCUGAUUACUUCUCUUAAAGCAGCAGACUGGACAGUUACAAGCAUGUCUUCAACAACAUACCAUGCAAUCAGCUUGUUAAGUCCUUCCUGGCUUACAAAUUGCACUGGCUGUGAUUUAAUGUCAAGUUUAGGCGGUUUAGAGGGAAAGACUUCCUCUUGGUCUGCCAAGCUGGGUCCCUGAUGUUUGCAGCACAAGGCUAGUAGAGGGAAUUGUUGGGUUAAAGCUCCUGUGAGGAGUUUUUUGACAUUCAUGAAAGAGACUGAAAGUCCUAUUGAUGCCUUUUUGUGAUAUCUGAAAGCAAACAAGAUCAUCAGGAACAAGACUGAGCAUUUUCAUAUCCUAAUUUUUAAUGACUAAACCUGCUAUAAAGAGGUAGGUGUCGAUGGAGCAGCUGAGUGAAUAUCCCUGUUUUUUAUUUUUUAUUUCCACGUAAAAUGUUCAUAAUAAGUAACACCCUUGACUGUCAAAAUUGAUAAGAUGAUGAUAAGAAUUUUUUUAUUCAAAAGUCCCCACCAAGCAUGCAGAGGCUGCUUUGCCCCCUCACAUGUUUGUCUCUUUUUAUUCCUGUUUUGAAACAAGCUAGCCUGUCACAGUCAGAGUCACCGGUAAAUUAAAGUACAGAAGAGAUUUUAUGUGAUUUUAUGCAUUUCUGCACCGGUAUCAGCCAAAAUGAGUUUGAAAAUAUAUGCAAAUCUGGAAAAAAUCUAAUAACAUGCAUCUUUAACUUCCUCUCACUACCAUUUCCUUGUUCCAUAUUUCUUACUUCCAAGACAGCUCUUGGGUCGUAACCAAGAACUGACAUUUUUAUUGAGGCAGUAUCCUAGAAAGAAAACAAACUAAUGCAAACAAGCAAUGCUUCCUGCAAGGGUUUGUUUAUGAGAAGUUACACCUGCAAAGUUCAGGACCUGGACUGACCAUAAUCUGGAAAUAUCUUCAAGUCACAUAAGCAACCUUUCUUUUCUUACACGUGCAGGACUCAUGGCUGUUGUCCAGCUAUAAAUACUUAAUGCAUUCUUUUGUUUUUCUACAACAAUUUAAAACAAUUGCCACUGCAAAGAAACAGCACCUAUGGUACUAAUUUGUUUCAUCAAGUACAUGGUCAUGUCAAAUGUAAUAGAUUAUGUUCAAAGACUUUGGGUUUCAAGGGAAUGAAACACUAAAUUUAUGUACUGCCAUAAACAGGAGGUUUCCAUGGAUGCCCAAAAGCCCUUUUGUUAGGCUAAGUGAAAGACUGUGUUUCUAGUUAAAUGGUAUUGUCAAAUGUUAGUAAGCCAAAUGUAAUCCAGUGGCAUUAAGUUUCCUCCAUCAUUUAUUUGAUGUUUCAAAUAAACUAUAAUUGAUGUUA
This 5568-nucleotide long non-coding RNA is filed under the name Xyrichtys novacula (pearly razorfish). The record is from RNAcentral. Lineage: Eukaryota; Metazoa; Chordata; Actinopteri; Labriformes; Labridae.